AACCCAUGGUGAGGGCACCUUCUCAAUAAGUCAUUAUACCUCUCCUAUGCAUCAUAUAGGGUCUCUAAAUAAAUCUGAAUAAAGGAAGAGAUAUCAUUCCUCAACUU
This is a non-coding RNA of Gossypium hirsutum (cotton), 107 nucleotides long. Lineage: Eukaryota; Viridiplantae; Streptophyta; Magnoliopsida; Malvales; Malvaceae. The record is from Rfam.